This is a long non-coding RNA of Cyprinus carpio (common carp), 1167 nucleotides long. The record is from Ensembl. NCBI's taxonomy places the organism in Eukaryota, Metazoa, Chordata, Actinopteri, Cypriniformes, Cyprinidae.
GCUUGCUGGGUUGAACCUAGAAUUAAUUAAAUCAAAUAAAAAAUGAUAUUAAAAUGGAAUUUUUGUAUUUAAAAUUAAUUAUUUAUUAUUAAUUAAAUUAUAUCAACACACCAUCAGCAAAUCCUGUUUUAACAGCUCAUGCGCAAAUUCUGUCACAUUUGAUAGACCAAUCAUAACACAGUAGCAGAGAACGGCCAGCCAAUCAAAGCACACCGGCUGAGUCACGAGAGCUAAUCAAGGAAUAAAAACAAACCUGUCAAGAGGGGCGAACGGAAAAUGUGUGAAGGAUUUACUUUGUUUGUCGAGUUUCUCCCGGUGAAGUGCAUGUCAGCAGCCAGAAGACAUGGAGGUGAUCCGUUCUGAAGCCGAAGCCGCUCAUGACGACACUGUGCAGGACGCAGAGGAGGCUAAGAUCUGCACUGCCAUGCUAUGGAGCAUCCAGGAGGCCGUUCAGAGACAGACGCUGCAGAUCGGGGUGUCAGCGUGCGGAGCCACAGCGGUAGUGGACGUCCUGCAGGCACUGGGCAUCACGGUGACUCCAGAGAUGGUGAACCACAGCGUGAGGACGAGACUGAGGAGGAACGAGGCGCCGCUGCCUGAUUACCUGCAUUCUCGCAGCAUGGCUGUAAGUGAAGAGGAGGUUCAUGAGCGUCUGUGCAGCGAGUCUGUGCUUCUCAUUCGCCGUGAGGAUGUUCUGAAGAGACUGACGCCAGGCAUUCAUCUAUCACAGAUCUCAGAUCAGCAUCCUGAUCUGCGCUGGAAAACAUUAAAUGUGGAGGGUCAAGUUAGACAGAUGGUCAGCGAGGAAGAGCAGAAUGAUGAAGACCAGGCUAAGAUGACACAUCUUGUGAUUCCAGCAGCGUACAGCUCUGGAGUGACUUUCUUCGCUCUUAGAGACUCUGAUGUUGGGCAAGAGCUUCUCAGCAGCCCAGAUCUGCCUCUGCUGUAAUUUUAGUCUCAUACCUGCUUAUGAAAUUAACAGUUAAUUAAGUUAUUCCUGACACGGGAUCAGUAUUUAUCUCUGUUUUUAUUCUUGGGAUUUUAAAUAGAUGUUGUCAUCCUGCUCUGAUUUGUGUUGACAAUACUGAUUCAUUGAUUUUUGUGUUUUUUUGAGACUGUAAUGUUUGACAGCAUCAUGUUUAUCAAAUAAAAGGCAAUAAAUGUACA